RNAcentral lists this small RNA (76 nucleotides) under Klebsiella variicola. Its description in RNAcentral is "isrK". It matches the Rfam family "isrK Hfq binding RNA". The record is from RNAcentral. Lineage: Bacteria; Pseudomonadati; Pseudomonadota; Gammaproteobacteria; Enterobacterales; Enterobacteriaceae.
GCUGCAGCAAAAUCUGCAGCCGGGAUUGGAACCCCGAAUAACCAGACGACGCACAGCACGCGCCAGCGUGUUUUUU